CGGUAAGGCCCUUCGGGGUACACGAGCGGCGAACGGGUGAGUAACACGUGAGUAAUCUGCCCUCCACUUCGGGAUAAGCCUCGGAAACGGGGUCUAAUACCGGAUAUGACCACUUCAUGCAUGUGAUGGUGGUGGAAAGUUUUUCGGUGGGGGAUGUGCUCGCGGCCUAUCAGCUUGUUGGUGGGGUAAUGGCCUACCAAGGCUUCGACGGGUAGCCGGCCUGAGAGGGUGACCGGCCACACUGGGACUGAGACACGGCCCAGACUCCUACGGGAGGCAGCAGUGGGGAAUAUUGGACAAUGGGCGGAAGCCUGAUCCAGCAACGCCGCGUGAGGGAUGACGGCCUUCGGGUUGUAAACCUCUUUCAGUGGGGACGAAGCGCAAGUGACGGUACCCACAGAAGAAGCACCGGCCAACUACGUGCCAGCAGCCGCGGUAAUACGUAGGGUGCGAGCGUUGUCCGGAAUUAUUGGGCGUAAAGGGCUCGUAGGCGGUUUGUCGCGUCGGGAGUGAAAACACUGGGCUUAACUCAGUGCUUGCUUCCGAUACGGGCAGACUAGAGGUAUUCAGGGGAGAACGGAAUUCCUGGUGUAGCGGUGAAAUGCGCAGAUAUCAGGAGGAACACCGGUGGCGAAGGCGGUUCUCUGGGAAUUACCUGACGCUGAGGAGCGAAAGUGUGGGGAGCGAACAGGAUUAGAUACCCUGGUAGUCCACACCGUAAACGUUGGGCGCUAGGUGUGGGGUCCAUUCCACGGAUUCCGUGCCGCAGCUAACGCAUUAAGCGCCCCGCCUGGGGAGUACGGCCGCAAGGCUAAAACUCAAAGGAAUUGACUGGGGCCCGCACAAGCGGCGGAGCAUGCGGAUUAAUUUCGAUGCAACGCGAAGAACCUUACCUGGGUUUGACAUACGCCGGAAGCCGUAGAGAUACGGCCCUUUUAGUCAGUGUACAGUGGUGCAUGGCUGUCGUCAGCUCG
RNAcentral lists this ribosomal RNA (974 nucleotides) under Nocardioides salarius. Its description in RNAcentral is "bacterial SSU rRNA". It matches the Rfam family "Bacterial small subunit ribosomal RNA", at positions 67 to 1062 of the family's 1533-position model. The record is from RNAcentral. Lineage: Bacteria; Bacillati; Actinomycetota; Actinomycetes; Propionibacteriales; Nocardioidaceae.